RNAcentral lists this small nucleolar RNA (123 nucleotides) under Echinops telfairi (small Madagascar hedgehog). RNAcentral describes it as "Small nucleolar RNA SNORA61 (ENSETEG00000026902.1)". Lineage: Eukaryota; Metazoa; Chordata; Mammalia; Afrosoricida; Tenrecidae. The record is from RNAcentral.
AACUCCCUGAUUCUGUAACCUUGGGAUCUAAAUAAUGGCCUGAGUGGACAAAAAAAAGGAGGAAAAGUUAAACUGAGGUGGACUUGGAAUCUUUAGUGACAUGCAAGUUCAUUUCAAACAUAU